GCCCGGGUGGUGGAAUUGGUAGACACAGGGGAUUUAAAAUCCCCCGCCUUCGGGUGUGACGGUUCAAGUCCGUCUCCGGGCA
Non-coding RNA from Gammaproteobacteria bacterium MedPE, 82 nucleotides. NCBI's taxonomy places the organism in Bacteria, Pseudomonadati, Pseudomonadota, Gammaproteobacteria. The record is from Rfam.